This 1766-nucleotide long non-coding RNA is filed under the name Citrus x clementina. Its description in RNAcentral is "Citrus clementina (C. clementina) long non-coding RNA (CCLE_LNC006308)". Lineage: Eukaryota; Viridiplantae; Streptophyta; Magnoliopsida; Sapindales; Rutaceae. The record is from RNAcentral.
CUUCGGUCGCUUAUUUUUUAGCGUGGCUGUGCCCGCAGCCUAUUUUUGGCGCACGGAGGUCCCUCGCAAAGUCUCCCGCCAUUCCGAGUCCGGCGGACGAACUUGGCCAGCCCCACCCCCCAAGGCUAUAGCCACCCGUUUUUGUGGCCUUUUUCCGCUGGACGACCUUGGCGCCCCGGCCUUCGGUCACUUAUUUUUGGACACGGCUGUGCCUGUGGCCUAUUUUUCGCACACGGAGGCACCUCGCAAAGUCUCGCGCCAUUCCGAGUCCGGCGGACGAACUUGGCCAGCCCCACGCCCCGAGGCUAUAGCCCACCCGUUUUUUUGGCCUUUUUCCGCUGGAUGAACUUGGCGCCCCGGCCUUCGGUCGCUUAUUUUUGGGCGCGGCUGUGCCCGCGGCCUAUUUUUGGCACACGGAGGCCCCUCGCAAAGUCUCGCGCCAUUCUAAGUCCGGCGGACGAACUUGGCCAGCCCCACCCCCCAAGGCUAUAGCCCACCCGUUUUUGUGGCCUUUUUCCGCUGGACGAACUUGGCGCCCCGGCCUUCGGUCGCUUAUUAUUGGGCGCGGCUGUGCCCGCGGCCUAAUUUUGGCACACCGAGGCCCCUCGCAAAGUCUCACGCCAUUCCGAGUCCAGCGGACGAACUUGGCGAGCCCCACCCCCCAACGCUAUAUCCCACCCAUUUUUGUGGCCUUUUUCCGCUGGACGAACUUGGCGCCCCGGCCUUCGGUCGCUUAUUUUUGGACGCGGCUGUUCCCGCGGCCUAUUUUUGGCACACGGACGCCCCUCGCAAAGUCUCGCGCCAUUCCGAGUCCGGCGGACGAACUUGGCCAGCCCCACCCCCCAAGGCUAUAGCCCACCCGUUUUUUUGGCCUUUUUCCGCUGGAUGAAAUUGGCGCCCCGGCCUUCGGUCGCUUAUUUUUGGGCGCAGCUGUGCCCGCGGCAUAUUUUUGGCACACGGAGGCCCCUCGCAAAGUCUUGCGCCACUCCGAGUCCGGCGAACGAACUUGGCCAGCCCCACCCCUAAAGGCUAUAGCCCACCCGUUUUUGUGGCCUUUUUCCGCUGGACGAACUUGGCGCCCCGGCCUUCGGUCGCUUAUUUUUGGGAGAGGCUGUGCCCGCGGCCUAUUUUUGGCACACGGAGGCACCUCAUACUGUCUCGCACCAUUCCGAGUCCGGCGGCCGAACUUGGCCAGCCCCACCCCCCAAGGCUAUAGCCCACCCGUUUUUGUGGCCUUUUUCCGCUGGACGAACUUGGCGCCCCGGCCUUCGGUCGCUUAUUUUUGGGCGCUGCUCUGCCCGCGGACUAUUUUUGGCACACGGAGGCCCCUCGCAAAGUCUCGCGCCAUUCCGAGUCCGGCGAACGAACUUGGCCAGCUCCACCCCCCAAUGCUAUAGCCCACCCGUUUUUUUGGCCUUUUUCCGCUGGACGAACAUGGCGCCCCGGCCGUCGGUCGCUUAUAUUCGGGCGUGGCUGUGCGCGCGGCCUAUUUUUGGCUCACGGAGGCCCCUCGUAAAGUCGCGCACCAUUCCGAGUCCGGCGGACGAACUUGGCCAUCCCCACCCCCCAAGGCUAUAGCCCACCCGUUUUUGUGGCCUUUUUCCGCUGGACGAACUUGGCGCCCCGGCCUUCGGUCGCUUAUUUUUGGGCGCGGCGGUGCCCGCGGCCUAAUUUUGGCACACCGAGGCCCCUCACAAAGUCUCGCGCCAUUCCGAAUCCGGCGGACGAACUUGGCCAGCCCCACCCCCCAAGGCUAUAGCCCACCC